UACGUAGGGGGCAAGCGUUUGUCCGGAUUUAUUGGGCGUAAAGAGCGUGUAGGCGGUCAGGUAGGUCCGUUGUGAAAACUCGAGGCUCAACCUCGAGACGCCGAUGGAAACCAUCUGACUAGAGUCCGGAAGAGGAGAGUGGAAUUCCUGGUGUAGCGGUGAAAUGCGCAGAUAUCAGGAGGAACACCGAUGGCGAAGGCAGGUCACUGGGCCGCAACUGACGCUGAGGAGCGAAAGCAUGGGGAGCGAACAGG
This 254-nucleotide ribosomal RNA is filed under the name uncultured bacterium. Its description in RNAcentral is "partial 16S ribosomal RNA". It matches the Rfam family "Bacterial small subunit ribosomal RNA", at positions 524 to 776 of the family's 1533-position model. The record is from RNAcentral.